UGUAGCUCAGUGGAAGAGCAUCUGUCUAGCAUGUGUGAGGCCCUGGGUUCAAUUCCCAGCA
This 61-nucleotide transfer RNA is filed under the name Ictidomys tridecemlineatus (thirteen-lined ground squirrel). RNAcentral describes it as "Spermophilus tridecemlineatus (thirteen-lined ground squirrel) tRNA". It matches the Rfam family "tRNA", at positions 6 to 65 of the family's 71-position model. From Rfam's summary of the family: Transfer RNA (tRNA) molecules are approximately 80 nucleotides in length. Their secondary structure includes four short double-helical elements and three loops (D, anti-codon, and T loops). The record is from Rfam by way of RNAcentral. Lineage: Eukaryota; Metazoa; Chordata; Mammalia; Rodentia; Sciuridae.